This is a non-coding RNA of Oryza sativa Japonica Group (Japanese rice), 3382 nucleotides long. The record is from RefSeq and is a predicted model, not a curated record. Lineage: Eukaryota; Viridiplantae; Streptophyta; Magnoliopsida; Poales; Poaceae.
GAGGGAGUUUAACGCAAAACUUGUUUUGCAGAGUAUCCAGAGUAGACUCGAGAAAAGUCGUCGUUCGCCAUUCCCAUCCGCCGCCAAGGCUCCAAACCUCCCUUCCCCUCCGCAGCUCCGCCUUACGACGCCAUGGCCGUCGCCUCGCUGUCGCCGCCGCCGGAUUGAGGGCGCCGCCAUCAGCCGGCCGCGUCGCUGCUCUUCGCGUGCUCCUCGCAACGGGGGGCGGCGGGGUCCGUCCAACUGCCGCUCCUACCACCUCUUCAUCAGCAGCAGCAACGCCCGCUUUCUCCGCCACCGGCAGCCGAGGCGCCGCCUCCUCCGCCCACAUCGCAGCGUUGACUUCUCCAGGUUGGCUCGCCAACUCCAUCGGCUGUAGACUUCCAGCCUUCCAGAUGGCAAGUGCCUUGACGGGAGUGAUGACAUCCGUCAUCAACAAGCUCACUGCUCUUCUUGGGAAGGAGUACAUGAAGUUGAAAGGAGUACAGGGGGAGGUGGAGUUUAUGAUAGAUGAGCUGAGCAGCAUGAAUGCUCUCCUUCAUAGGCUGGCGGAGGAGGACCAACACCUUGAUGUGCAAACGAAGGAGUGGCGUAACCAAGUGCGCGAAAUGUAUUAUGACAUUGAGGACUGUAUCGAUGACUUCAUGCAUCACCUUGGCCAUACUGACAUUGCUGAGUCUGCAGGGCUUGUCCAUAGGAUGGCCCAACACCUUAAGACUCUGAGGGUGCGCCACCAAAUUGCCAACCAAAUCGAGAAGCUCAAAGCACGCGUUGAAGAUGCAAGCAAGCGGCGAUUGAGGUAUAAGCUUGAUGAGCGCACCUUCAAUCUUAGUACUGCAGGGGCCAUUGACCCCCGGUUACCUUCUCUAUAUGCUGAGUCAGACGGGCUUGUUGGAAUUGAACAACCAAGGGAUGUGGUUAUCAAGUUGCUAACGGAGGGAGAGGGUGCAUCAUCGCAGAAGCUAAAGGUGAUAUCCAUUGUGGGUCCUGGAGGUCUAGGUAAAACUACACUUGCGAAUGAGGUGUUUCGCAAACUAGAGAGCCAGUUCCAGUGUCGAGCUUUUGUUUCUCUGUCACAGCAGCCUGAUGUGAAGAAGAUUGUAAGAAACAUAUACUGUCAAGUCAGCCAGCAGGAGUAUGGUAACAUAGAUAUAUGGGAUGAGGAAAAGCUGAUAAACGCAACCCGAGAAUUCCUAACGAACAAGAGGUACUUUGUCGUCAUUGAUGAUAUAUGGAGUACUCAAGCAUGGAAGACCAUAAGAUGUGCUUUAUUUGUGAAUAAUUGUGGAAGCAGAAUAAUGACGACAACACGCAAUAUGGCAAUAGCCAAGUCAUGUUGCACUCCUGACCAUGAUCGUGUCUUUGAAAUAAUGCCUCUUAGUAUAGAUAACUCGAAGAGUUUGUUUUUGAAACGAAUAUUUGGCUCAAAGGAUGUGUGCAUUCCUCAAUUGGAUGAGGUUUGUUAUGAAAUAUUGAAAAAAUGUGGCGGGUCGCCAUUGGCUAUUAUUACAAUAGCUAGCUUAUUGGCUAAUAAAGCUAAUACCAAGGAAGAAUGGGAAAGGGUGCGUAAUUCUAUCGGUUCAACACUGCAAAAAGAUCCUGAUGUAGAAGAGAUGAGAAGGAUAUUAUCCUUGAGCUAUGAUGAUCUUCCCCAACAUUUGAAGACAUGCUUACUGUAUCUAAGCAUAUUUCCAGAAGAUUAUGAGAUUGAGAGGGAUCGACUAGUAGAGAGGUGGGUUGCUGAAGGAUUCAUUAUUACAGAGGGGGGGCAUGACUUGAAGGAAAUAGGAGACUGUUAUUUUAGUGAUCUUAUCAAUAGAAGCAUGAUUGAACCGGUGAAAAUCCAAUACAAUGGUCGAGUUUUUUCCUGCCGAGUCCAUGAUAUGAUUCUUGAUCUCCUUACAUGCAAGUCAACUGAAGAAAAUUUUGCCACCUUCAUGGGUGGCCAAAAUCAGAAAUUAGUGCUACAGGGUAAGGUUCGUCGGCUCUCUCUCAACUAUUACACUCAAGAUCACAUCAUGGUUCCAUCAACAGCAAUCAUCACACAUUGCCGAUCUCUCAGUAUUUUUGGGUAUGCUGAACAGAAGCCUCCUCUUUCAAUGUUUCCAGUUCUUCGUGUACUUGAUAUAGAAAAUGGUGAAGAUAUGGAAAGCAGCUAUACCAAACACAUAAGGAAGCUGAUUCAGUUGAAGUACCUGCGACUGAAUGUAAGAAGCGUAGCUGAACUUCCUGAAAAACUUGGAGAGCUACAACAUUUGCAGACUCUUGAUCUCAGACGGACAAACAUAAGAAAAUUGCCAGAGAGCUUCGUUCGUCUGCAAAAUUUGACAUAUUUGCGUGUCAAUAAUCUGGAUUUGCCUGAAGGAAUUGGACAUCUGCAUGCUCUGCAGGAGCUAACAGAGAUCAGAAUCAGCCAGGACUGCUUGGCAUCUUCCUUGUUGGAGCUAAGAAAUCUGACGAAGCACACAUUGACUACAAAGUUUUCGCCGAUAAUUUAGUGUCAUCGCUUCGCAAACUGGGCAGACUCAACCUUCGAAUAAUGUGCAUCCUGGGUUAUUAUGCGUGUUCCAUAGAGUUCUUGUUGGAUUCAUGGUUCCCCUCCCCUCAUCUCCUCCAAUCAUUUGCGAUGGGCAUGAACUAUCAUUUCCCCAGAGUCCCAUCCUGGAUCGCAUCACUUGACAACCUCACUUGCUUAGAAAUCAACAUAGACCUGGUGGAUGAGAAAGUGAUACAGAUUCUUGGGGAUUUACCUGUUCUGAUAUUUCUGUGGCUGAUAUCAAAAGAAGCAGGUCCCAAUGAAAGGCUCGUCAUAAGAAGUAACAUGUUUGUAUGCCUGAAGGAGUUCCACUUCACCUGCUGGAGAAAUUGGGAAGGGCUGAUGUUUGAAGCUGGGGCAAUGGCAAAGGUUGAGAUGCUGCGGGUUUCGUUCGACGCCGGUGGCAGUGUUCUUGAUUUCGGCAUCCAGCACCUGGCUUCCCUCAGGCAUCUCAUCGUCGAGAUCGUCUGUGGCGGUGCGACGCUUCGGGAGGUGGAGGCACUGGAAGAUGCCAUUAGGCACUCAGCUGAUCUCCUUCCAUGCCACCCAGCAGUUGAAGUUCGAACUUGGGAUGAAGAAAAGAUGGUGAAGGAGGAGGUGCAAAUCAUGGCUGAAGAGAAGAUCCAAACAAACAGCUAAAAAACCAGCAUGACUUUGCUACCAGUGAAGGCAGCUGAGCAGUAUUUUAAGGCCCCGUUUGGUACGGCUCCAAACUCCAACUCCCAGCUCCAAACUCCUACUCCAGUUGAAGCUAGCUCCUAUUGGAGUUACAGACCGAUCAAAAGUGUUUGGCAAACUUUUAGCUCCAGAUCUGAAAAAAAAAAAGAAAAAAAAAGAAAAAAAAAA